Molecule: small RNA, 26 nt
Filed under: Bombyx mori (domestic silkworm)
Lineage: Eukaryota; Metazoa; Arthropoda; Insecta; Lepidoptera; Bombycidae
Description: ovarian small RNA-23431
Source: RNAcentral
UAUAUCCUUGUUACCUCGUUUGAGCU